RNAcentral lists this ribosomal RNA (468 nucleotides) under uncultured bacterium. Its description in RNAcentral is "partial 16S ribosomal RNA". It matches the Rfam family "Bacterial small subunit ribosomal RNA", at positions 28 to 507 of the family's 1533-position model. The record is from RNAcentral.
GACGAACGCUGGCGGCGUGCUUAACACAUGCAAGUCGAACGGAAAGGCCCUGCUUUUGUGGGGUGCUCGAGUAGCGAACGGGUGAGUAACACGUGAGUAACCUGCCCUUGACUUUGGGAUAACUUCAGGAAACUGGGGCUAAUACCGGCUAGGAGCUCCUGCUGCAUGGUGGGGUUUGGAAAGUUUCGGCGGUUGGGGAUGGACUCGCGGCUUAUCAGCUUGUUGGUGGGGUAGUUGCUUACCAAGGCUUUGACGGGUAGCCGGCCUGAGAGGGUGACCGGCCACAUUGGGACUGAGGUACGGCCCAGACCCCUACGGGAGGCAGCAGUGGGGAAUAUUGCACAAUGGGCGGAAGCCUGAUGCAGCACCGCCGCGUGCGGGAUGACGGCCUUCGGGUUGUAAACCGCUUUCGCCUGUGACGAAGCGUGAGUGACGGUAAUGGGUAAAGAAGCACCGGCUAACUACGUG